Molecule: ribosomal RNA, 331 nt
Filed under: uncultured eukaryote
Lineage: Eukaryota
Description: partial 18S ribosomal RNA
Rfam family: Eukaryotic small subunit ribosomal RNA
Source: RNAcentral
CCCUUAGAUGUCCUGGGCCGCACGCGCGCUAUACUGACACAUUCAACAAGUUCUAUCCUGGCCCGGAAGGGUUUCGGGUAAUCUUGAUAGUAUGUGUCGUGCUAGGGAUCGAUCUUUGGAAUUAUAGAUCUUGAACGAAGAAUUCCUAGUAAGUGCAAGUCAUCAGCUUGUACUGAUUACGUCCCUGCCCUUUGUACACACCGCCCGUCGCUCCUACCGAUUGAAUGAUCCGAUGAAUAUCAUGGACUGAGAGUGUUAGAGUUUUCGGACUUCUACACUUCUCGGGAAGUGAAGUGAAUCUUAUCAUUUAGAGGAAGGAGAAGUCGUAACA